UUGCCAUUGAGAACCACGCGAAGACGAUUCAGUAACGCCCUGAUUAAUUACCGUUGUGGCAAGGCGCCAUUUGCGUAACAGCAAAAUGUUCGGCAGCAACAACCUUAAUUAUCACAGGGAAAAGAUCUAUCCAUGCAAGCAUUUUACCGUCAGUUCGCUGGCGGUUUUUUUUGCUUUUUGCUGACGGUUUCUGAUAAAAAGCAAAAGGCCCCUCGAUGUGCAUAUCCACGAGGGGCCUGUCUCUGGAAGGGACUAUCUCCGUUCAUUAAUCA
The sequence is a small RNA, 272 nucleotides long. It matches the Rfam family "STnc560 Hfq binding RNA". The record is from Rfam.